GAUGAACGCUAGCGGGAGGCUUAAUACAUGCAAGUCGAGCGAGAAGCACCUUUCGGGGUGUGGACAGCGGCGCACGGGUGAGUAACGCGUACACAAUCUGCCCUAUACAGAGGAAUAGCCCUGGGAAACUGGGAUUAAUGCCUCAUGGUAUCUAUUCAUCGCAUGGUGAUAAGAUUAAAGAUCCGUCGGUAUAGGAUGAGUGUGCGUACUAUUAGUUAGUUGGUGAGGUAACGGCUCACCAAGACGAUGAUAGUUAGGGGGCGUGAGAGCGUGAUCCCCCACACGGGUACUGAGACACGGACCCG
RNAcentral lists this ribosomal RNA (305 nucleotides) under uncultured Lewinella sp. Its description in RNAcentral is "bacterial SSU rRNA". It matches the Rfam family "Bacterial small subunit ribosomal RNA", at positions 28 to 334 of the family's 1533-position model. The record is from RNAcentral. Lineage: Bacteria; Pseudomonadati; Bacteroidota; Saprospiria; Saprospirales; Lewinellaceae.